UUAAAGAUAAGAGUCUUGUGGACUUUCCUGCCUGGACUGGCUUCUAACUGUGAUCUUCAGAUCUCAUCCUCCUGAGUAGCUAAGCAUAAGCCACUAGCACCUGCAUUAAAUGAAUCUCUACAAAGAACUGAUCUUGGCCUCCAGACUCAUUUCUUGUUUUCUCUUCCAAAUAUUAGAGAUGCAGUCUACCAUAAUUAGACAGCUCUUGACCUAGGUAUUUGAAAGACUCUUAACAAAUAGGAGUUGUAGGAAGAAUGGUGCAGGUAUAGUUGAUGAAGUCAUUCAGGUCUCUUUCUGGGACAUUGUAUUGUGGUGUUUGGUGUAUGUUUUUUUUUUUAUAAACCACUUCUGGCAAAAAGAAGCUCAAGUACAUAAAAGAAGACUUAUUUGUGCCCUGAUCUUGAGCUACUUUUGAAAACAUGGCAUCACUGUUCAUAAAGGACAUAAAUGCAUAUAAAUUUACGUGCAUGACCCCUUAAGUCCAGCAUGCAACCUUGAGUGCAUUAGAGUCUAGGACUUUGAAAUGAAAACACAGUGCAUAGCAAUCCUCUGCAACAGGGAACUGGGACUAAGCCUUGAGUGGCAUUACUCUGGCCAACGCACACAAAUUCAAUGCUAACAUUUUAACCUAUGGCCAUGUGCAUUAAAGAUGAAUUUUGCCUGGAAAAAAAUUAAUGUCCCACAGCUCUUAGAACUGUAGUUUCUUUGUGAAAUGGAGUAUGCAAAAUGGCUUUUAAAAAUCAACCUUUGGGCGACUAGCUUGUUUUUCCUGUCUUGGCUUGUCUUAGUACUUAGACCCCUAAAGGAUCAUUAAGCAAAUAAUCAAAUAGGUAUAAAAGAACCACCCAGAUUCACAGCAAGCAGUAUGGAGAUGGAUGGAGCCAGUGAGGAAGACCAAUUUUCAAAUUAUUUUUUAGUGUGAAACUAUAAAAUGUCGCUUCUAUUUUCUUUUUUUUAAAAAAUCAUCAUUUAAAACCAUGAAGGUUCACCACUCUUUCCUUGGCUAAUAGAUUGAAUUUUAAACAAGGAAGGUUCAUUUUGCAGGCAAAAGUACGAAUAACAGCUAACGAGAGUGGAACUGGCCUGGAAACUUUGUGAGUUAUCAGAUUUAUGUUGUGUCUACAGAACAGACUAAGAUUUUUUUCUUAAAAGCCUUCUGGGGUCUUGUAUCAAUUUAAUUUUGAUGAAUGGCCAGUGUGGUAAAUAUUAUUUACAUUACUACACAAGUUGGGUCUGUUCCAUUGUGCCUGCUAUGAAAUAGUUUCUCAACUUAAUCUCCAUGGACUGGCUUUGCCCACUGUUAAUUCACAAUUAGAAGGAUAAUUAGUAAUGCGAGCACUUUGCUUUUGAACUAAAAACAAGAACAUGAGCUCAUUACUCUAUCAUCUGGAAGUUAGCAAUUCUUGAGCCUAAAGAUUUCAAUACUGUACUCCCAGUGAUCUACACAGGUGGUAGUAUUACUUUUUUAAAUUUUGCCCUUUUUUCUCUUUUAUAUAUAUAUAUACAUAUAUGUAUAUGUAUAUAUGUAUGUAUAUACACACAAAAUUAUAUAUAUAUACAAAAUUAUAUAUAUAAAUAAAAUGGCACGACAGUCUCACUCCUUUGAUUUAUCUGCAUUUCUUCCCCCUCUAUCCGUGUCUGCUCAUUUACUCAUCCAUUCUACAUGUUUGUUAAGCCUAUUUUACAUGGGCCUGAUAUUGUACAAGAGCAGCCACAGAUGAUACUUGAACAAAAAGGGUCUGGCAGUAUUCUAAUAAAACUUUAUUCACAAAAACAGACAGUGGAUCAGAUUUGGCCAACCUUUCAAAGCCACAAGCUUUGAGGCUAUAGACACAGCAGAAAGCAAUAAAAAUUCUAAUGGAUAUGUACUACAAUCAGAGAAGUAGACAAUACAUAGAAAAAGAAAGAAUUUCAGAGUAGCAAGUAGAAUGAAGGAAACCUGUUUUCCAUAUCAAAAUCAUAACUUACAGUCAGCACAGAGCUAUUAUGUUGCGAAUGUUUUCUCUGUACCUUCUCAAUUGUUGUUUCUGAUGUCCCUGAGUCUUACCAUCCUCCCUGAUUGCUACUUUUACUUAUUCCUCCCAUUCACAGUAUUUAGAUAAAUCUAACUGAUGAUCACACAAAUGAGAGACCAAAUGCAUCCACUUGUUCCUCUUAUAAUAUACUUUAUCUUAAUUCCUUGUUUCUACUUUAGACAGAGAAUCCUAGAAAUCCUGAUGGGGAAAGGGCACAAAUGAGGAAUGUAAAUGUGGACAAUGUCUGUCCCUUGCUAUGGAUGUCAUUGUUAUUUCUGCUUCUCUAUAGUUUCAGAGGAUCC
Perognathus longimembris pacificus (Pacific pocket mouse) is the source of this 2317-nucleotide long non-coding RNA. RefSeq lists it as uncharacterized. The transcript is spliced from 2 exons. The record is from RefSeq and is a predicted model, not a curated record. NCBI's taxonomy places the organism in Eukaryota, Metazoa, Chordata, Mammalia, Rodentia, Heteromyidae.